This 6867-nucleotide long non-coding RNA is filed under the name Aquilegia coerulea. RNAcentral's name for it is "long non-coding RNA (ACOE_LNC001469)". The record is from RNAcentral. Lineage: Eukaryota; Viridiplantae; Streptophyta; Magnoliopsida; Ranunculales; Ranunculaceae.
AUAAAUUAGCCAAGACACACAGACAUCGAUCUGCACCUAACCAUUAGCUUAGCUGCAUGCCUGCAUGUUCACCAUUCAUUUCUUAGCGAGAGUGUCUUCUAGCUAUCAACUCGAUCUAGCUUCUAAUAAUUUCUCUUCUCUUUUUUCAUCACUACUAACUAAUUCUUCUCUAAUUAAUUAACUAAUGGCAUAUCAGAAGGAUACAGAAAAUUCGGAAACAAUAGAGAGUUUUAUCCAUCGAUGGGAAAGAGAAAAACCAAAGAUAUUUUCACCUGAGCAGCUACAAGACUUCACUUCAAAUUUUUCUAAGAAGUUAGGCUAUGGUUCAUUUGGAGAUGUUUUUCAAGGCAUAUACAAUGAAAAGCAAGUGGCUGUUAAGGUUCUCAAACAAGAAGUACUGGCCGACAAUAUAAAAGAUCAAUUCAUCGCUGAAGUGAGCACACUAGGGAAGAUUCAUCAUAGAAAUUUGGUCAAGCUCUAUGGCUUCUGCUUCCAACUCAAUAUGAAAGCGCUUGUAUAUGAAUUCAUGGAGAAGGGAUCUCUUGAUAAUAUUUUAUUUGAUGAUGGAAAACCAAGUAUAAAGUGGGAGACGUUGUGUAACAUUGCGAUUGGGACUGCAAAGGGACUCUCCUAUCUUCAUGAGGAUUGUCAACCCAGUAUAAUUCAUUAUGACAUUAAGCCUUCUAAUGUUCUGCUGGACUCAAACUUUUUUCCUAAAAUUGGUGAUUUUGGAUUGGCUAAGCUUCUUAAGAUGGAUAGAACCCAUGUCACCAUGUUUGAAUCUAGAGGGACUCCUUAUUAUUGCGCACCAGAGCUAUCUCUUCCAUACUUAACAAAAAUAAAUCACAAAUGUGAUGUUUACAGCUUUGGUAUGAUGUUAUUUGAUAUUGUAUCCAUGAGUAAACAUCAAAGUCAAGAGGCCGAAGACUGGUUCCCAAGAACAGUUUGGGAUAAGUACGAGAAAGGAAAACUAGAGGAGGUUAUGACAGACUGCAUUGAGGAGAAAGAUAAAGAUAUGGCCAAGAGAAUAUUAAUGAUUGCACUAAAUUGUGUGGAAUUUUUUGCUUCUAACAGACCAUCCAUGAGUGAUGUAGUGAGACUUCUUGAGGGUACAAAAGACCCUCCCUUGCCUCCUAAUCGGUUUUUGUCAUCUCCUCCGCAGGCUACUUCGAGCAUAGUGGUACCUAAUAAUAGGUACAAUCCCUAUUAUUCUUAUUGAUUCAUUAUUUUUUGACGUACCUCCACAAUGUUGCAACUCCCUUCUGAUAUAUUUUGAAAUUGCAGGAACCUUGAGCGUGAAAGCGGGGUUGUGGAUAAGAUGAUUAAUUCUCAUGAUGAGAAGGAAAAGGUUAAUAUCUCCCUUUAUAUUGUUUAAGAUAGUGAUAUUCUUUUGAAGUUUUCAUAAUCUUGAUAAUCAUUUCUGACAUAUGGUGAGCAAGUUUUUUGUCCUUAAUUUUUCUUUACACUAUUUACACAUGUUAAUAUAUAUUACUAAUGAGAACCUUUUCAAUGUUUGUUCUAUAAAUUGCAUGACACAGGAGAGGGAUGGCGAUAUAAUCGUUGAAAUAAGAUAUAAAUCAAUUGGUCCCUGGGGUGGCUCAGGAGGUUCUGAAUGGGAUGAUGGAGUUUUCCCUGGCAUUUUGCAGAUUGAAAUAGUUAGUGCUAGAAGAGAGAUCUGUUCGAUCGAGAUUGAGUAUUGCGGAAAUGAUGGAACAUCAGUCGGUUGGUCUAAUAAGCAUGGACAUAAUCCGGGUCAGCAAACUGACAAUGUAAUGUACUUUUAUUAUAAUUUAUUUUAAGAAUCCUGAACCUUAAUUACCCCAACAUGCAUAUGAUUGAAACAAUUUUAGCUUGUCAUUAACUUUAACGAUUUAUUUAUUUAUUGCAGAUAGUAUUUGAUUACCCAAGUGAGUACUUGAUGGGAAUUACAGGGUUCAUGCAUGUCUCUCGUAAUUCAAACAUAGCCGUGAGAUCUUUAAGUUUCAUCACCAACAAGAAAAUUCAUGGACCUUAUGGUGUUAACCUUAUUGUGAAGGGGGAUCCCUUUACUUCUGGGAAGCUUGGGAAAGUUGUUGGGUUUCAUGGUAGAAGUGGAGCUUGGUUGGAUGCUAUAGGUGUUCAUAUGGAGGCCGAUGAUCCCAACAUUUGAUACUUCACCCUGCUACCUAUUUGUUGUUCUUGCAAGUACAAGAUGCUAUAGGUGUUCCUACGGAGGAUCCCAACAUUUGGUACUUCAACCUACUACCUAUUUCAUGUUCCUGCAUCUAAUUGCGCGUGUUUUUUGUUCUAUAAUAUGGGGUGGAUAUCCUUUAAUUUUGAGUCUGAAUCAUCUGUACGUGUCUCUAUUAUAUGGCCUCUGCUAGACUGCUACUGCUAGAGAAUUAUUAAGAGUUGUUUCCAGUUCUAAUGUUCUAUAUUAUAUUUUUAUCUUCUAACUAUCUUUCUUAUUAGCACAUCUAUAUCACAGUUAACAAAGAUCCAAGCUGUUUAUUAUAAAGAAUAAAGAAACUAAAAGAAACCAAUUAAACAUUUCAAAAAUCCUCCAUGCAUGAUAAUCAUAGCAUAUCAAAUCACAACCUGGAAGAAAGAAACCAUGAAGAAGAAAGAAAGGAAGAAAAUGCUCGUGUGUUUGUUUUCAAUUUUUCAUGGUAGCAUUGCAAUAAAAAUUGGGCUAAACACCGAAGUUGGAUAAGCUGAUUGGGCUUUGAUUUCAUUUAAAUAGCCCAGACACAAACACCAGACCACCAAAGUCCACACACUGACACACACACACUCUGUUCCAUUUGAUGGAGUUGCAGAACAAAGCCAUUUAUUCAAUACAUUUUAACUCAGUACAUUACUUUGCGAGCAACAUUUUCGUCCACACAAUGUGACUAGGACAACUUGGUAACGGGUUAUGCAAUUUUUAUUGUUUUUUUUAGUUUUUUAGUUAAACAUACAGAUGGCAGUUGUAUGGAUGACAAAAUUGCUAUAUAUGACAAAAUUCAAGAAACAAUAAGAGCAAAUUUUUGUUGACUUUAGACUAACCGGUAGCAAGUUUCCACUUGAGUCCACGUGGGAAGAUUGUGUGGUGUACAAGCAAAUGUACCGUAAUACACCAUACCGAAAAUGUACCGAAUAACAGCUAGCAGAACAAUGGCUGUUUUCACAAUUAGAAAACUCAGUAAAAAUCCUAUCUUUUUCUCUCGUGGCUUCUUCGUCAGCUCAACCCAUGGAUUUCAGCAGAUACAACGAAGAAAAAGAUUUUACAAAGAGAGCAAAUGUGGUUCUUGUUUAAUGUUAUGUCUUUGUCCAUGUCUGAUUCUCUUCAUUCUUCUCUUAAUCAUACUCACCAUCUUUUUCUUUUACAAAAAUCACAAUUGUUAAGUAAAAAACUUCCAAUUCAACUUAAACCAACUAUAUCAGAAACCCCUUUUCAUUUGAGAAUAAAAAUCCCAACUUUGAAUUACAGUAUUGUUAAUGAUAAUGAGGGGGUGGAAGAAAUUGAGGGUAAUGAUGAGAGUAUGUAAGGUGAUUAAUGAAUGGUUUGCAUCAGAUCAGAAUAUGGACGCUAUUCUUGACCAAUGUGGUAUCGAUUUAACUCAUGAUCUUGUGAUGGAUGUGUUAGCUCAAUUUCGGCAUGCUAGAAACUAGAAAGCCAGCUUUUAGAUUUUUUUUUUUUUUUUUUUUUCUGUUGGGCAGGGAAGAAACCGGGGUUUGAGCAUGAUUCGAGGACAUAUAAUAUAUUCGAUGAUGGAAAUAUUUGGGAAGACAAAUCAAUUUGAAAUUAUGGAUAGACUUCUGUGGUUCUACCUAUGAUACCAAGGUUAACCAUUAGAUGAGGUGGCGACAAUAGCUCACAACAUAAUGCUUGAAGGAUUGUUGAGUGGUAGAAGGGAGUCUGAACUCUGAAGCAAUCAAGUUGUUUGAACUCAUGUAAGGCAACGGCUCUUCACCAAAUGUUUGAUGCUGCACCAUUUUGAGUAGAGAUUUGCAUGUGUAAGAGAAAUAAGAUGGAGCUAGCUGUUGAAUAUUUUGACGAAAUGUUUGAUGUUGGUUGGUAUCCCGAUCCUGCGGUAUACACAUGUUUGAUGAUUGGGUUUGGAAACCAGAAGAUGAUGGAUAAGGUCUAUCAAUUGCUAAAAGAGAUGAAGAGUGUUCUCAUUAAACUUAUGACCAAUUGGCAAAUGCCAGAUGAUGCAGUUAGGAUAUAUAAAAAAUAAUUCAGAAUGGACACAAGCCAAACAUCCGCACUUAUAACAUGAUGAUGAAGUCUUAUUUUCAGGUGAAGAACCAUGAGAUGGGUUGUGCUGUGUGGGAGGAAAUGGCAUCCAAUGGUUUCUGUCCUGAUGAAAACUCAUAUACUGUAUUUGUUGAAGGUCUUAUUAUAUAAUAUAAGAUAUGGGAGAUGUGAAGAGGCUUGUAAAUAUUUGGAGGAAGUGAUAGAGAAAUGUAUGAAGGUUCCUCAGCUUGACUACAAUAAAUUUGCGGCAGAUUUCUAGAGCCGGAAGGCCAAAAUUUCUAGAAGAAUUGGCUCAAAAGAUGAAAUUCUCAGGUAAGUUUGAGGCUUCCAACGUAUUUGCGAGGUGGUCUGAUUGGAUGAAGAAAUGAAUUAAGUAGAGUGACCCUGCUCAUUUGCAUGCCAGCUAAAAGAGUUCAUCACUCGAGCUCAAAAGUAACUAUAUUUGAUUAUGCCUUUGUAGUUUGUAUAUCUUUUGUAUUGUAUGGCUUUGAUCUUUGCUGUGGCGCUUGGCUUCCAACUAAUUCAUUUGUACUUCUUUGUUUCAAUUGAUUCAUUUGAGUUCCGAAUCUUUUACCAAAACAUUAGAAAGAAAAAUCUUAUUAGGGUAUAUCCUUGGUUUUCUUUCCUUAUCUCUGCGCCCAUCCAAUCUGUCAUCUCCAUUUCCCAAGAUACUUGCAUUGCGAGGUGGUAUGAGAUGACAAUGGAUUUAAGAAUGCCUUGUGUGACAAGCAUCAUGGUGAAAGGAUUCACACCACUGGAAGAAUUUGAUUUCCAGGACAGGCAUAAAUUGGAACAACGGUUGAUAGAGAAGUGAGGGAAGCAUUGUGCUGCUUAUCUGGGAUGACCUUUUUCCAUUGGUCUGCCCAAAGCUGGAAACUCUGCCAUUGGUUCCCUCUCUCUCACAGCUAUCUCUGUGAGAAGUCUCUGAGAAUAUUAAUGUAAUUGGAGAACCUCCAAUGUUUUCUUUCUGUCUGCAUUAUUGAGUUCGCAUCUCUGGAAGAACUUGAAAUCCAGGAAUUGCCUAAAUCAAUGCUUUUACCAGCCCAGACUACACCUCACAUCUUUCCAAUAAAUGGACAUUGGAGAAUGUUCUUUGGUGCUAGAGAAAUAACGCGGAAUGGAGAAGACUGGAGAUAAGUUUUUAUCAAUAUAUUUCAUUUUUAUUAUUGCCAUUAGCUUUUUAUUUUAUUAUGAUAGGGGAUGGAGGGAUUGGGUUCAAAAAGAUUGAAAAACAAUAGGUGGAUCAAACAUAGGUUUUUUUACCUUUGUUGAUCAAACUCUUUGGUAUUAUAUCAUCCAUUGUUUCCUCCCAUGAAGUCAAUCAUAUUGUACCUUUAACCAAAUCUAUGAUUUUUUUUAUUUAAUCAUGGUUAGCCCACAAGACAGAUGAUUUUUUUUUAAUCAUUGUUUCCUCCCUUGAAGUCAAUCAUGAUUUUUUUAUUUAAUCAUGGUUAGCGUACUAAAUCAAUGCGUUUACCAAAAAAAAAAAAAAAAAAAAAGCUCUACGUAGUAACGUGUUUCUUCAUUGAUUUUUAAUUAAUUUGACCUGAUGCAUGAUCUCCAGGAGAAGCCAAGACACAGACAUCUAUACCUACCAUUAAUAAUUGAUGCUCUGAUACCUACUGCUCAGUGUUCAUCACUCAAAUGAAUCUUAGAAGAGUACUCUAGCUAUCAAAGCUUCUAAUUAAGUUUGAGAGACUGAGAGUGAAUUAGUGAAAGCCCUCUCCCCUUUCCUCUUCUCUCUUUUUUCCUCUGCAUAGAUCCAUCACUAACUAUUUCUUAUUUUCUAUCGAAUUAAUGGGUUUCGAGUACUUCAGUUACAUCAAGUUUAUAGCAGUGUUGAGAGUUUAACUAUAUUGAUCUUCUCUAACCAGCUCAACAUUCUAGGUAAGUAAUAGUAAUGUGAUCUAGAUCGGGAAAAAAAAAAUAUUGUAUUUUAUUACUAUAAAUAGCCAUUCAUGAACUUAAGCUUUUGUUAUGGGUAGGUUUUUGGUCAAUUAAUGCAUGGCAAAUCAGAAGGAUACAGAAAAUUUGGAAAUAGCAGAGAGCUUUAUCCAUCAAUGGGAAAGAGAAAAACCAAAGAUAUUUUCACCUGAGCAGCUACAAGACUUCACUUCAAAUUUUUCUAAGAAGUUAGGCUAUGGUUCAUUUGGAGAUGUUUUUCAAGGCAUAUACAAUGGAGAGCAAGUGGCUGUUAAGGUUCUCAAAGAAGUAGUACUGGCCGACAACUUAAAAGAUCAAUUCAUGGCUGAAGUGAGCACACUAGGGAAGAUUCACCAUAGAAACUUGGUCAAGCUCUAUGGCUUCUGCUUCCAACCCAAUAUGAAAGCACUUGUAUACGAAUUCAUGGAGAUGGGAUCUUUAGAUAAAGUUUUAAAUGGAGAACAAAGUAUAAAGUGGGAGACUUUGUGUAGUAUUGCAAUUGGGACUGCAAAGGGGCUCUCUUAUCUUCAUGAGGAUUGUCAACCCAGUAUAAUUCAUUAUGACAUUAAGCCUUCUAAUGUUCUGCUGGACUCAAACUUUUUUCCUAAAAUUGGUGAUUUUGGAUUAGCUAAGCUUCUUAAGAUGGAUAUAACUCAUGUCACCAUGUUUGAUUCUAGAGGGACUCCUUAUUAUUGUGCACCGGAGCUAUCUCUGCCAUACUU